Molecule: ribosomal RNA, 253 nt
Filed under: uncultured bacterium
Lineage: Bacteria
Description: partial 16S ribosomal RNA
Rfam family: Bacterial small subunit ribosomal RNA
Source: RNAcentral
CACGUAGGUGGCAAGCGUUGUCCGGAAUUACUGGGUGUAAAGGGAGCGCAGGCGGAAUGGCAAGUUGAAUGUGAAAUCUACGGGCUCAACCCGUAAACUGCGUUCAAAACUGCUGUUCUUGAGUGAUGUAGAGGUAGGCGGAAUUCCCGGUGUAGCGGUGGAAUGCGUAGAUAUCGGGAGGAACACCAGUGGCGAAGGCGGCCUACUGGGCAUUUACUGACGCUGAGGCUCGAAAGUAUGGGGAGCAAACAGG